GAAUAUUUGACACUGGGGGGAACCCUGAUCCAGCCAUGCCGCGUGUGUGAAGAAGGCCUUUUGGUUGUAAAGCACUUUCAGCGAGGCGGAGGCUCCUCUAGUUAAUACCUAUAGAUAGUGGACGUUACUCGCCGAAUAAGCCACGGCUAACUCUGUUCCAGCAGCCGCGGUAAUACAGAGGGUGCAAGCGUUAAUCGGAUUUACUGGGCGUAAAGCGCGCGUAGGUGGCCAAUUAAGUCAAAUGUGAAAUCCCCGAGCUUAACUUGGGAAUUGCAUUCGAUACUGGUUGGCUAGAGUAUGGGAGAGGAUGGUAGAAUUCCAGGUGUAGCGGUGAAAUGCGUAGAGAGCUGGAGGAAUACCGAUGGCGAAGGCAGCCAUCUGGCCUAAUACUGACACUGAGGUGCGAAAGCAUGGGGAGCAAAC
This 423-nucleotide ribosomal RNA is filed under the name uncultured bacterium. Its description in RNAcentral is "bacterial SSU rRNA". It matches the Rfam family "Bacterial small subunit ribosomal RNA", at positions 359 to 773 of the family's 1533-position model. The record is from RNAcentral.